RNAcentral lists this ribosomal RNA (115 nucleotides) under Staphylococcus pasteuri. The record is from RNAcentral. Lineage: Bacteria; Bacillati; Bacillota; Bacilli; Caryophanales; Staphylococcaceae.
UCUGGUGACAAUAGCAAAGAGGUCACACCUGUUCCCAUGCCGAACACAGAAGUUAAGCUCUUUAGCGCCGAUGGUAGUCGGACUAACGUUCCACUAGAGUAGGACGUUGCCAGGC